UGCUGGUAGUGGGCUCUGCCCUGAGGGC
RNAcentral lists this non-coding RNA (28 nucleotides) under Homo sapiens (human). The record is from RNAcentral. Lineage: Eukaryota; Metazoa; Chordata; Mammalia; Primates; Hominidae.